CCUACGGGAGGCAGCAGUGGGGAAUAUUGCACAAUGGGCGCAAGCCUGAUGCAGCCAUGCCGCGUGUGUGAAGAAGGCCUUCGGGUUGUAAAGCACUUUCAGUAAGGAGGAAAGGUUAAGUGUUAAUAGCACUUAGCUGUGACGUUACUUACAGAAGAAGCACCGGCUAACUCCGUGCCAGCAGCCGCGGUAAUACGGAGGGUGCGAGCGUUAAUCGGAAUUACUGGGCGUAAAGCGUACGCAGGCGGUUUGUUAAGCGAGAUGUGAAAGCCCCGGGCUCAACCUGGGAACUGCAUUUCGAACUGGCAAACUAGAGUGUGAUAGAGGGUGGUAGAAUUUCAGGUGUAGCGGUGAAAUGCGUAGAGAUCUGAAGGAAUACCGAUGGCGAAGGCAGCCACCUGGGUCAACACUGACGCUCAUGUACGAAAGCGUGGGGAGCAAACAGGAUUAGAUACCCUGGUAGUCCACGCCGUAAACGAUGUCUACUAGAAGCUCGGGUCUUCGGACUUGUUUUUCAAAGCUAACGCAUUAAGUAGACCGCCUGGGGAGUACGGCCGCAAGGUUAAAACUCAAAGGAAUUGACGG
RNAcentral lists this ribosomal RNA (585 nucleotides) under uncultured Pseudoalteromonas sp. RNAcentral's name for it is "bacterial SSU rRNA". It matches the Rfam family "Bacterial small subunit ribosomal RNA", at positions 338 to 916 of the family's 1533-position model. Lineage: Bacteria; Pseudomonadati; Pseudomonadota; Gammaproteobacteria; Alteromonadales; Pseudoalteromonadaceae. The record is from RNAcentral.